GACGAACGCUGGCGGCGUGCUUAACACACGCCAGUCGAACGGAAAGGCCUUUUCGGAGGUACUCGAGUGGCGAACGGGUGAGUAACACGUGGGUGAUCUGCCCUGCACUCUGGGAUAAGCCUGGGAAACUGGGUCUAAUACCGGAUAGGACCGCACUUUAGUGUGUGUGGUGGAAAGUUUUUUCGGUGUAGGAUGAGCCCGCGGCCUAUCAGCUUGUUGGUGGGGUAAUGGCCUACCAAGGCGGCGACGGGUAGCCGGACUGAGAGGUUGGUCGGCCACAUUGGGACUGAGAUACGGCCCAGACUCCUACGGGAGGCAGCAGUGGGGAAUAUUGCACAAUGGGCGCAAGCCUGAUGCAGCGACGCCGCGUGGGGGAUGACGGCCUUCGGGUUGUAAACUCCUUUCGCCAGGGACGAAGCGUUUUGUGACGGUACCUGGAGAAGAAGCACCGGCUAACUACGUG
RNAcentral lists this ribosomal RNA (463 nucleotides) under uncultured bacterium. RNAcentral's name for it is "partial 16S ribosomal RNA". It matches the Rfam family "Bacterial small subunit ribosomal RNA", at positions 28 to 507 of the family's 1533-position model. The record is from RNAcentral.